Salvia miltiorrhiza (redroot sage) is the source of this 1576-nucleotide long non-coding RNA. RefSeq lists it as uncharacterized. The record is from RefSeq and is a predicted model, not a curated record. NCBI's taxonomy places the organism in Eukaryota, Viridiplantae, Streptophyta, Magnoliopsida, Lamiales, Lamiaceae. The transcript is spliced from 3 exons.
AGUUUGUGGCAAUUCUGUAAAUAAAAUCAUAUGAAGGGUUAUUCAACUAAAGCUGCACAGCCUGUUAAACCACCUAUUUAGCACGUUUUAGUUAAACUAAACCCACUAAGAGUCAAAUAAAAUCUCAAUAUAAUUUAACAAAUCUAUCUAUAUAUAUAUGAAAAUGGAGUUUUAACGUUAAUUUCUGUAAAUUUUAAAUAAACGUGAUCAACCCAAAUAGUAAUGGUUAAAGUCAGUUUUUUUUUUUUCCUACAAAAUCUCAACUAAUUAAAUAACCCAUUUCCCACAAUUCUUGGCCGCUUACCCAUUAUCCCUCUUCACACAAUGCAUCUGUUUCUGAUUUUGGAUCAUAACCGUUGUCAUCUUCCACUCUCUGCUCACCCGUUGUCUGUCAUCCACAGAAGGAACGUCGCCGCUGACCAUCACCUUGCAACACUGUACAAAACAUUCACCAAUUUUCCCCCUUUCUCAGCAAUCGAUACAGAAACUACCACCUCGAUCUCCUAUUUCUUUUCUAUUCAAUAAUUUUCUGAAUUCAAUCCAUCUCUUUUUCGAUCAAUCUCUUGAAUCCAAAUAAUAUAAUAAUGGCUACUUCUUUUCAACCCUCCUUCUCCUCCCGUCCCCUCUUCCACCACUGCUAAAACCACCGUACAUCCACAGAUUCACGUGUUGUGCUCCAUCGUCGAUACUCUUGCAUCAUCAACAUUAGAUUCUCCAAAAUGAAGACAGUUAGCUGUGGUGUGGGCACUUACACCGGAGGCAUAAGAACAGAAUUGUCGUCAUCGGUUUCGUCGGGGAAUUUGUUUGGGAAUCACACAUUGAUCUCAUUAUGCAUAUGUUGUCGAGCCCAUUUUGUUGGAAGUGGAUUAUAUCUAUCCAUUCACCAGUGACAUUUAUCGUGAUCCUCUUGAGCAUCCUCAGAAUGAGGAUAUGUGAACCCAAUUGGCGUAGGCGUGAGGAGUUGCUAUGACGAAGGAAAACGGACAACUGAAACUUUGACUAUAGACUAUCACAAAGGUGUUGGUAACGAGGUAAACAUUAUGAAUCCUGCUAUGUUCAAUUUAUCAACACUAAUAUGUUGCUUUUUUAUGAAUGCUCUAUAUUCUUCAUUGCUGCUUUUGUUAAGUAAAUAAGAUUGGAGUUAUUGUGGAGCUGGCCAGUGCCCAACGAGAUACUGACACUCGAGAUUAGAUCGGCAGGGCAUAAUGUGUGUGUCUGUCAAUGAUAUUCACCUUCAUCACUGCCCAGUGCUUCCUCAAAAUGCUCAGCUUCAUGAAAUUAUGUAUGUUCAUAUUCUUUUCCUUCUUCCUCUUGAUCAUGACUAUUUUUAUCUACUUUUCUUACCUGAGACUAAAGGGAAGAAAUUGCUGCUGUUUGGAACUCUCAUCCCUACUGGAAAAGAUUCGUCCACCAAGACGACCACAAAAAUCACGAUAUGGCUUUGAUUUGAUACAUCUAUGUACCACAUUUUAUUUUUUGUUUUUCUUUCAUCAGUGACCACUUGCAAUGUAUAUGUAUAUAGGACCAUUUAGUUGUUUGAUUCUUUAUUUUUAGUGUUUAUGUUUAUGUUUUACAA